CCACCACUUUAUCUUUUCAUCCAGAUUAAUAGAGUUAAGUAUAUUAGAGCUAGAGUAGUUUUAGGAUGGAUGACUUCUUAGGAAGUGGUGUUACAUAUAUCUAUGUGCGUUUUUUUUUAAGAAAGAAAGAUAGCAUGCUAUCCGCUUCGUUUAUUUUUUAAAAAGUAAAUUUAGCUGAAAAUAUUAAGCAACUAGAUUUCAAACUUAAAAUUUUGGAUACCAACCACUAAGUUCUUGGCCAUUUGUGCGUGUUGAUACACCUUAAUAGU
Molecule: long non-coding RNA, 269 nt
Filed under: Ananas comosus (pineapple)
Lineage: Eukaryota; Viridiplantae; Streptophyta; Magnoliopsida; Poales; Bromeliaceae
Description: long non-coding RNA (ACOM_LNC008433)
Source: RNAcentral